This 488-nucleotide ribosomal RNA is filed under the name Streptococcus mutans. RNAcentral describes it as "bacterial SSU rRNA". It matches the Rfam family "Bacterial small subunit ribosomal RNA", at positions 28 to 492 of the family's 1533-position model. Lineage: Bacteria; Bacillati; Bacillota; Bacilli; Lactobacillales; Streptococcaceae. The record is from RNAcentral.
GACGAACGCUGGCGGCGUGCCUAAUACAUGCAAGUGGGACGCAAGGGAACACACUGUGCUUGCACACCGUGUUUUCUUGAGUCGCGAACGGGUGAGUAACGCGUAGGUAACCUGCCUAUUAGCGGGGGAUAACUAUUGGAAACGAUAGCUAAUACCGCAUAAUAUUAAUUAUUGCAUGAUAAUUGAUUGAAAGAUGCAAGCGCAUCACUAGUAAAUGGACCUGCGUUGUAUUAGCUAGUUGGUAAGGUAAGAGCUUACCAAGGCGACGAUACAUAGCCGACCUGAGAGGGUGAUCGGCCACACUGGGACUGAGACACGGCCCAGACUCCUACGGGAGGCAGCAGUAGGGAAUCUUCGGCAAUGGACGAAAGUCUGACCGAGCAACGCCGCGUGAGUGAAGAAGGUUUUCGGAUCGUAAAGCUCUGUUGUAAGUCAAGAACGUGUGUGAGAGUGGAAAGUUCACACAGUGACGGAGCUACCAGAAAGGC